GUGUGUAUACCCAAGUGGUCAAGGGAACGGAUUGUGGCUCCGUUAUCAUGGGUUUGAAUCCCAUUACGCACCCCA
This 75-nucleotide transfer RNA is filed under the name Floccifex porci. RNAcentral's name for it is "Erysipelotrichaceae bacterium LKV-178-WT-2G tRNA-His". It matches the Rfam family "tRNA". Rfam says of the family: Transfer RNA (tRNA) molecules are approximately 80 nucleotides in length. Their secondary structure includes four short double-helical elements and three loops (D, anti-codon, and T loops). Lineage: Bacteria; Bacillati; Bacillota; Erysipelotrichia; Erysipelotrichales; Erysipelotrichaceae. The record is from RNAcentral.